AUUGAACGCUGGUGGCAUGCUUAACACAUGCAAGUCGAACGGUAACAGGUCUUCGGAUGCUGACGAGUGGCGGACGGGUGAGUAACGCGUAGGAAUCUGGCCCAUUUGAGGGGGAUACCAGUUGGAAACGACUGUUAAUACCGCAUAAUAGUCUGUGGAUUAAAGGUGGCUUAGGCUGCCGCAGAUGGGAUGAGCCUGCGUUGGAUUAGCUAGUUGGUGGGGUAAGGGCCUACCAAGGCUACGAUCCAUAGCUGAUUUGAGAGGAUGAUCAGCCACAUUGGGACUGAGACACGGCCCAAACUCUACGGGAGGCAGCAGUGGGGAAUAUUGGACAAUGGGGGAAACCCUGAUCCAGCAAUGCCGAUGUGUGUGAAGAAGGCUCUAGGGUUGUAAA
Molecule: ribosomal RNA, 394 nt
Filed under: uncultured bacterium
Lineage: Bacteria
Description: bacterial SSU rRNA
Rfam family: Bacterial small subunit ribosomal RNA
Source: RNAcentral